Molecule: ribosomal RNA, 492 nt
Filed under: uncultured bacterium
Lineage: Bacteria
Description: partial 16S ribosomal RNA
Rfam family: Bacterial small subunit ribosomal RNA
Source: RNAcentral
AGUGAACGCUGGCGGUAGGCCUAACACAUGCAAGUCGAACGGCAGCACAGUAAGAGCUUGCUCUUACGGGUGGCGAGUGGCGGACGGGUGAGGAAUACAUCGGAAUCUACUUUUUCGUGGGGGAUAACGUAGGUAAACUUACGCUCAUACCGCAUACGACCUACGGGUGAAAGCAGGGGAUCUUCGGACCUUGCGCGAUUGAAUGAGCCGAUGUCGGAUUAGCUAGUUGGCGGGGUACAGGCCCACCAAGGCGACGAUCCGUAGCUGGUCUGAGAGGAUGAUCAGCCACCCUGGAACUGAGACACGGUCCAGACUCCUACGGGAGGCAGCAGUGGGGAAUAUUGGACAAUGGUCGCAAGCCUGAUCCAGCCAUACCGCGUGUGUGAAGAAGGCCUUCGGGUUGUAAAGCCGUUUUGUUGGGAAAGAAAAGCAGCAGGUUAAUACCCCGCUGUUCUGACGGUACCCAAAGAAUAAGCACCGGCUAACUUCGUG